AAAUCUGCAGGGGAGAUACCAUGAUCACACAGGUGGUUUUUCCAGGUGAGGCUUAUCCAUGGCACUCUGGAUAAGCUGACCCCUGUGAUGUCCCCAAAUGUGCAUAAUUUGUAGUAGUGGGGGACUACAUUCCCACUUUCCCCUU
This is a small nuclear RNA of Otolemur garnettii (small-eared galago), 145 nucleotides long. Its record names the gene U1. It matches the Rfam family "U1 spliceosomal RNA". From Rfam's summary of the family: U1 is a small nuclear RNA (snRNA) component of the spliceosome (involved in pre-mRNA splicing). Its 5' end forms complementary base pairs with the 5' splice junction, thus defining the 5' donor site of an intron. NCBI's taxonomy places the organism in Eukaryota, Metazoa, Chordata, Mammalia, Primates, Galagidae. The record is from Ensembl.